AAUAACAUAAAGAUUGAAUUGGUAUCUCCUGUUAUUAAAUAUACAAAUUAAGAGGAACUAAAAUCACAAGUAUUGAAAGACAAUAAAGAUAAGUCAGGUAUUUACCGUUGGGUAAAUAACUUAAAUGGUAAUACUUAUGUAGGAAGUGCAGUAAAUUUAGAAAUAAGAUUACGAAGCUAUUAUAAUAUUAAAGAGUUAAAAAGAAAUUCUAGACCUAUAAAAGAUGCUUUACUGAAGUAUGGUCACUCUAAUUUUACAUUAGAAAUAUUAGAAUAUUGUCCUAUAAUAAGUCUUAUGGAACGGGAACAAUUCUAUAUGGAUUUACUAAUACCUGAAUACAAUAUCUUGAAAAAUGCUUACUCUUUAUUAGGGUUUAAACAUAGUCAGGAAACUAUCUUAAAACUAAAAGAGAAAGUAAUCUCUCCUGAGCAUAAAAAGAUUUUAUCUUCAAUUCACACGGGAAAGGUUGUCAAUGAAGAUACCAGAAAUAAAUUAGCAGCUGCUACGGCCAACUAUAGAAAAAGAAAUCCUUUAUCUGAAGAAGCUUUAGAAAAUUUAAGAGUUAAAACUACUCUUCGUGAGGGAGUAGCUGUUUCAGUCUUAAAUACUGAGACAAAUGAGAUAAAAUCUUUUACAAAUCAAACGGAAGCUGGUGUAUUUCUAGGUAUAUCUAGACAAGCUGUGUAUAAUGCUAUUAAAAGAGGUUCUAUUGUUAAUGGUGUAUAUAUUAUUAAUAAAGUAUAGGUUUUGUUAAAAAAGUUAAACUAGAAAAAGAAAUGAAAAUUACUUUAGUUUCAGUUAAUACUGAAACCAGAUUUAGUCUGUUGUCUAAAUGGAUAGUUAUUGUAAAAUAACCGUUUAGGGAGAAGUACCUUUACUCUGUCCGAUAACAAGGAUAAAAUAAGGUAGAUCUGUGUGUGUCAAAAGGGAAACAGCCCAGAACAAGUGUUUAAGGUUCCAAAGUUUUUGUUAAGUGAAAGUAAGGAAGUAUUUAAACUAUACAACCAGGAAAUAGGCUUAGAAGCGGCCAUUUUUUAAAGACCUCGUAACAGAGCACUGGUUCAAAUGGUUAAUUCGUUAACCUAAUUAGUUAAAAGCGCCGAAGAUAUAACGGAUCUAAAACAAAACACCGACACCUUGUCCAUAAUAAUAAUAUUAGGUUAAAUCCUAUUUUAAUAUACUUAAAGGUUAUUUAAGUAUUAUUUAUGGGGUAGCGGAACAUUGGGUAAAUAGGAUUAAAAAUAGGCAAUACCUCGAUAAUAAAGAUUUAUCCUUAAAUCCCUUUUUUAAUAUAUUAAAAAGGGGAUCAUAUAAAGGGUGGAGGAAUAAACCUAUUUUCAUAAUUACAUUUGUAGUUUGCUCGCUAGAUAGCGGGUUUUCAUAAAUAUCCCAAGUGAGAAUGCUGACACGAGUAACGAAAAAGAGGGAGAAAAUUGGGCAAACCCAAUUGAAGAGGGAUAGAUUGAAUAACGUAAAUAAACUAAAUAGAUGAUACGACCCCAACCUGUUGUAAGGUCCUCUCGCCUUAAGCUUAUGGGAAAGUGAAUCGGUCUCUAAAUUUAACCUAAAGGAUAAAAUGAUGAGGAAAAGUAUAUGUGACAACAUAAAAUGGAGUAAAAUGUUCUGGAAAAGCAUAUACUAAGCAAGGAAGGAGAAAUGGCUUUUUUUUUAUAAACUAAAAAGAAGAUACUAGGCAUUUCUUUCUAUAGGGAAUAAACUAAAACAGAUGAUACUAGUUUCCUUGUUUAUACUAAAACCGUACCUAAAAACUACCACAAGUAAGCUAGUAGAGAAUACGAAGGCGUUUGAGCUAACAAUCAUUAAGGAACUCGGCAAAUUGACACCGUAACUGAGGGAGAAGGUGUGCCAUUCCUACUGAUUAAUAUCAGUUUAGGAAGAGGAGACAUAAAAUGGUGUUGCACGACUGUUUAAUUAAAACACAGCACUUUGCGUAAGAUGUAAAUCAAUGUAUAGAGUGCGCUAUCUGCCCAAUGAUGGCUGGUUAACGGAUUUACUUAGACGACUAAAAUAGCCUAGGUUUUGAAGGAACCCCCAUUUAAUGGCGGCCUUACCUAUAAGGGUCCUAAGGUAGCGAAAUACCUUGGCAUUUAAAUGAUGUCGCGCAUGAAUGAUCUCACGAUGCAACAGCUGUCUCAAUGAUUGGCUCAGUGAAACUGGAAUGGCAGUGAAGAUACUGCCUAUCUCUAGAUAGACGAGAAGACCCCAUGCAGCUUUACUGUUACUAGUUAUAGGGUAUAAUUUAACAGGUUUUAGGGAAUAAGGUAGUUGAGCGACAAAAUUGAAACACCUUUACUCUGGUUGUUAUAUCAGUAGAAUAGGUUACAUUAUUGUAACUGACGUCUGAAUGUAAUCCAUAAAAGGAGGGAGAUUAUAUCAAGCUCAGGAGACAAUGGCUAGCAGAUGGUUUAUGCGGGGCACAGAUCCCAUAAAGAGUACCUGGGAGUAUCCAAAUUUAUUUUUGUAAUAUGCUAUACGCAAAUUAUAUGGGGCUUUUAUUAAAUAAUUGCCUUGUAUAUUUUAAUUUUUUAAUUACUAUAUUUAGUUUGUUAUUUUUUAUAUUUACUUUUAUAAAGUAUCUAUAACUAAUUCAGUUAUAUUUCUAUUUAAGUUAGAACUAAAACAAUUUAAUAUAAGUAAGAUUUUACCUAUGUGGAAAAUAGGUGUAUAUAUAGUAUUAAUAAUUAAUAUCUAAUUGUAAAAUAACAAUAUAGAGUAAAAGAAGAUAUAAUUAUAACACUAUUAGUUAUUUUUUUUUUACAGAAUACCUGUAUAAGAGAAAUGAUGUUGAUAUAUACUUCAAAAGUUUAAUGGCUUAAUCUUGCUUUACUGUUUGACAUACACGUCUAUCAGUUGCGUAAGCAGGGCAUAAAGACCGCAAGACGCAGUAAGGAAAGGUCUUGUAUUAUUGAAAAAGCUACGCUGGGGAUAACAGGCUAAUUGCGCCAGAGAGUACAAAUUGAGUGCGCAGUUUGGCACCUCGAUGUCGGCUUAGCUCAUCCACAUGAAUGCAGGAAUCAUGAAGGGUACGACUGUUCGUCGAUUAAAGAGC
This 3070-nucleotide ribosomal RNA is filed under the name Pyrenophora teres f. teres. RNAcentral's name for it is "bacterial LSU rRNA". The stretch from base 758 to 3070 matches the Rfam family "Bacterial large subunit ribosomal RNA", at positions 1 to 2596 of the family's 2925-position model. Lineage: Eukaryota; Fungi; Ascomycota; Dothideomycetes; Pleosporales; Pleosporaceae. The record is from RNAcentral. RNAcentral also lists the same sequence under 2 other names.